Molecule: ribosomal RNA, 493 nt
Filed under: uncultured bacterium
Lineage: Bacteria
Description: bacterial SSU rRNA
Rfam family: Bacterial small subunit ribosomal RNA
Source: RNAcentral
UCAGUUGUGAAAGUUUGCGGCUCAACCGUAAAAUUGCAGUUGAUACUGGAUGUCUUGAGUGCAGUUGAGGCAGGCGGAAUUCGUGGUGUAGCGGUGAAAUGCUUAGAUAUCACGAAGAACUCCGAUUGCGAAGGCAGCCUGCUAAGCUGCAACUGACAUUGAGGCUCGAAAGUAUGGGUAUCAAACAGGAUUAGAUACCCUGGUAGUCCACACGGUAAACGAUGAAUACUCGCUGUUUGCGAUAUACGGCAAGCGGCCAAGCGAAAGCGUUAAGUAUUCCACCUGGGGAGUACGCCGGCAACGGUGAAACUCAAAGGAAUUGACGGGGGCCCGCACAAGCGGAGGAACAUGUGGUUUAAUUCGAUGAUACGCGAGGAACCUUACCCGGGCUUAAAUUGCACUCGAAUGAUCCGGAAACGGUUCAGCUAGCAAUAGCGAGUGUGAAGGUGCUGCAUGGUUGUCGUCAGCUCGUGCCGUGAGGUGUCGGCUUAAG